GAUGAAGAACGUAGCGAAAUGCGAUAAGUAGUGUGAAUUGCAGAAUUCAGUGAAUCAUCGGAUCUUUGAACGCACAUUGCGCCCUUUGGUAUUCCUUAGGGCAUGCCUGUUCGAGCGUCAUUUAAACCUUCAAGCUAAGCUUGGUGUUGGGUGACUGUCCGCUUCACGGCGGACUCGCCUCAAAAUUAUUGGCGGCCGGUACAUUGGCUUCGAGCGCAGCAGAAACGCGAACUCGGGCCCGUCGUAUUGGCUCCCAGAAGCUAUCUUCACAAUUUUGACCUCGGAUCAGGUAGGGAUACCCGCUGAACUUAAGCAUAUCAAUAAGCGGAGGA
Molecule: unclassified non-coding RNA, 332 nt
Filed under: soil metagenome
Description: partial contains 5.8S ribosomal RNA, internal transcribed spacer 2, and large subunit ribosomal RNA
Rfam family: 5.8S ribosomal RNA (bases 1-120)
Source: RNAcentral